GGGAAUAGUUUAUGUAGAAC
RNAcentral lists this transfer RNA (20 nucleotides) under Balaenoptera bonaerensis (Antarctic minke whale). RNAcentral's name for it is "partial tRNA-Pro". Lineage: Eukaryota; Metazoa; Chordata; Mammalia; Artiodactyla; Balaenopteridae. The record is from RNAcentral.